UACAUAGGGAGCAAGCGUUAUCCGGAUUUAUUGGGUGUAAAGGGUGCGUAGACGGGAAAUUAAGUUAGUUGUGAAAUCCCUCGGCUUAACUGAGGAACUGCAACUAAAACUGAUUUUCUUGAGUACUGGAGAGGAGAAUGGAAUUCCUAGUGUAGCGGUGAAAUGCGUAGAGAUUAGGAAGAACACCAGUGGCGAAGGCGAUUCUCUGGACUGUAACUGACGCUGAGGCUCGAAAGCGUGGAGAGCAAACAGG
This 253-nucleotide ribosomal RNA is filed under the name uncultured Eubacteriales bacterium. Its description in RNAcentral is "uncultured Clostridiales bacterium partial 16S ribosomal RNA". It matches the Rfam family "Bacterial small subunit ribosomal RNA", at positions 524 to 776 of the family's 1533-position model. The record is from RNAcentral. Lineage: Bacteria; Bacillati; Bacillota; Clostridia; Eubacteriales.